Long non-coding RNA from Sander lucioperca (pikeperch), 184 nucleotides. RefSeq lists it as uncharacterized. The record is from RefSeq and is a predicted model, not a curated record. Lineage: Eukaryota; Metazoa; Chordata; Actinopteri; Perciformes; Percidae. The transcript is spliced from 2 exons.
GGGUCGGUAUAAUCAAUAAUACGUAUUGAGGGAAGUAUGGUAUGUAAAAGUAGAGAUGAAAUUCUGAUGAAACUCUGAUUUUGAUGAAAUUCUGAAAUUGUUUUUUUUUUUCCAUUGUUUCACCCUUAUUUGAUCUACUUUAUGGUACCUAAUCAUGAUGACCCACAGAAAUUAAUAAAAAAAA